AAUAGAUACCCCGGUAGUCCACGCCGUAAACGAUGAGUGCUAAGUGUUAGAGGGUUUCCGCCCUUUAGUGCUGCAGCUAACGCAUUAAGCACUCCGCCUGGGGAGUACGGCCGCAAGGCUGAAACUCAAAGGAAUUGACGGGGGCCCGCACAAGCGGUGGAGCAUGUGGUUUAAUUCGAAGCAACGCGAAGAACCUUACCAGGUCUUGACAUCCUCUGCCACUCCUAGAGAUAGGAGGUUCCCCUUCGGGGGACAGAGUGACAGGUGGUGCAUGGUUGUCGUCAGCUCGUGUCGUGAGAUGUUGGGUUAAGUCCCGCAACGAGCGCAACCCUUGUCCUUAGUUGCCAGCAUUCAGUUGGGCACUCUAAGGAGACUGCCGGUGACAAACCGGAGGAAGGUGGGGAUGACGCCAAAUCAUCAUGCCCCUUAUGACCUGGGCUACACACGUGCUACAAUGGAUGGUACAGAGGGUCGCGAAACCGCGAGGUGGAGCCAAUCCCACAAAACCAUUCUCAGUUCGGAUUGCAGG
RNAcentral lists this ribosomal RNA (529 nucleotides) under uncultured bacterium. Its description in RNAcentral is "bacterial SSU rRNA". It matches the Rfam family "Bacterial small subunit ribosomal RNA", at positions 777 to 1304 of the family's 1533-position model. The record is from RNAcentral.